This 98-nucleotide microRNA precursor is filed under the name Camelus bactrianus (Bactrian camel). Its description in RNAcentral is "mir-544 microRNA precursor family". It matches the Rfam family "mir-544 microRNA precursor family". The record is from Rfam by way of RNAcentral. Lineage: Eukaryota; Metazoa; Chordata; Mammalia; Artiodactyla; Camelidae. RNAcentral also lists the same sequence under 2 other names.
AUCACCUGGGGAUCUUGUUAAAAUGCAGAUUCUGAUUCAGUAGAUUUGGGGUGGGGCCUAAGAUUCUGCAUUUCUAGUAAGCUCCUAAGUGAUGCUAG